RNAcentral lists this ribosomal RNA (481 nucleotides) under uncultured bacterium. RNAcentral's name for it is "bacterial SSU rRNA". It matches the Rfam family "Bacterial small subunit ribosomal RNA", at positions 31 to 507 of the family's 1533-position model. The record is from RNAcentral.
GAACGCUGGCGGCAGGCCUAACACAUGCAAGUCGAGCGGUAGAGAGUGCUUGCAUCUCUUGAGAGCGGCGGACGGGUGAGUAAUGCCUAGGAAUCUGCCUAGUGGUGGGGGAUAACGUUCGGAAACGGACGCUAAUACCGCAUACGUCCUACGGGGAGAAAGCGGGGGAUCUUCGGACCUCGCGCCAUUAGAUGAGCCUAGGUCGGAUUAGCUAGUUGGUGAGGUAAUGGCUCACCAAGGCGACGAUCCGUAACUGGUCUGAGAGGAUGAUCAGUCACACUGGAACUGAGACACGGUCCAGACUCCUACGGGAGGCAGCAGUGGGGAAUAUUGGACAAUGGGCGAAAGCCUGAUCCAGCCAUGCCGCGUGUGUGAAGAAGGUCUUCGGAUUGUAAAGCACUUUAAGUUGGGAGGAAGGGUAGUAACCUAAUACGUUGCUACUUUGACGUUACCGACAGAAUAAGCACCGGCUAACUUCGUG